Molecule: long non-coding RNA, 790 nt
Organism: Gorilla gorilla gorilla (western lowland gorilla)
Lineage: Eukaryota; Metazoa; Chordata; Mammalia; Primates; Hominidae
Exons: 3
Source: RefSeq, a predicted model, not a curated record
CUGAGGGGUUCUGAGGGGCUGGGGAGCAAGCCAGCGGGUCACAAAGCCCUGGCAGACCCAGCCAAUCACCUUCUUCUUAUGGCUGAGCAAGGACCUGAUUCAUUGAGAGGCUCAGCCUCUCAAAGCUGGAUUAAUCAAUGCAGAGACGGGGCAAGUGGAGUAUUUGCAGGGUUGGCCUGGAGCCCAGCAUGCGCCCCCUCCCACAGAUCCAAGACAGGGAUCUGGACGGCUGUGGGUUCAGGUCAACAAAUGUCCAUGGAGUCACCCAUCAAUCCAAGGCUCCCAGCAGAAGGCAGACAGUGUGACUUGGCUGCAGGCUUUGCCAUUCGCUGCCUGUGAGACACAAGCAAGUAGGCGAAGGUAUCCAAGCCUCAGUUCUCAUGAAGCAUCAGAAUGAUGGACUAACCCCACGUGGAGACAGUCAGCCCCCACCCCAGUGGGGACAUGCACUGGAGAGCUUCCAGAAGGCCUGCAGAUAACUUCUCUCCUGCCCUACCAUAGUGCCCGAAAUUCCCACCAGAAAUGCCACUCUUGUGGAUUACAGCAUCCAGCUCCAGAAAGCCUUUGAGUUGUUACCUCAAUUUUGCUUAUGAGGAAAUGAAGGAUGAGGAUUCCAGUGACUUUUCCAAGUUCAAGAUCAACCACUGGCAAGAUCAGAGCUGAACCUGGCCAAAUGAACACAAAUCCCAUGCUCUUUCCACACCACCACACUGGGGCAGGAAGGACGAUUUGAUUUUUCACAGCUCUAGAGCAGGAUGACUUGCCCAGAUUUCACCCCUUGAGAAUUAGG